GCUUGUCCCUGUCAGUCGGUAGAGCACAAGGCUCUUAACCUUGUGGUCGUGGGUUCGAGCCCCACGGUGGGCA
This 73-nucleotide transfer RNA is filed under the name Zea mays. It matches the Rfam family "tRNA". Rfam says of the family: Transfer RNA (tRNA) molecules are approximately 80 nucleotides in length. The record is from Rfam by way of RNAcentral. Lineage: Eukaryota; Viridiplantae; Streptophyta; Magnoliopsida; Poales; Poaceae.